Molecule: small RNA, 1381 nt
Filed under: Pyricularia oryzae
Lineage: Eukaryota; Fungi; Ascomycota; Sordariomycetes; Magnaporthales; Pyriculariaceae
Description: Magnaporthe oryzae sRNA M_BR32_EuGene_00066111
Source: RNAcentral
UAUAAUAAAUUAUAUUUUUGUAAAUAAUUUAACCAAUUGAAAUUUUAUAAAAAUUAUUAUAAGGUAAACCAACGAUUAUAUAACGGUUAAAUACCCGAAAGGAAUUAUUAUUAUCGCUAAAAAAAAGGAAAAAAAAAGGGUGCGGAAAAAAUUUUGGCGGCCCUUCCUCUUUUAUAUAUAAUGCAAUUUAUUACGUAAUCCCCGCUAUUAUUUAUAUACGGGGAUACGUGCAAUUAAUAUAAAUCCGUAAUAUAACCCUUUUUUUUUACCGGAAAUUUCCUAAUUUGUGGUUUUACCGUUCCAAAAUCCAGGUAUUUUUCCAACCGUUUCCCCCUUUUUCCGCCAAUAUCCCGUUUAACGGCCUUUUUGGAUUAUGGCGGGGAAAUAUGGGUAUCGAUUUAUUAUUUCCCCGGUAAUGCGCCGUGGGUUUCGUAACGGCGUAAUUAUACCCGCGCGUUUAUUUUAAUCCCGUAAUUAUAUAUUAUUAAUUUGGGGGUAUUUUAGCGUUUUAAUCGCGUUAUAACCGGUGCGGUUAUUAUAUAUUACCGGACAAUAUUAUAUUUAUUUCGUUUAUCGUUUUUUUUCGAAUUGGGAAAAUAUAUUGCGUUAUUAGGUUUUUUCCCCCCCAAUUUUUCCCGUUUUCGUUUUUUUUUUUAUUUUAUUUUUAUUUCGUUUUUAUUUCGCCUUUUUUUUAUUUCCGCCCCGUUUUCGUUCCGUUUACGUCCCGUUUUUAUUUUAUUUUUAUUUCGUUUUUUUUUUAUUUUCGUUUCGUUUUUAUUUUAUUUUUAUUUUAUUUUUAUUUACCCCGUUAUAUUAUUUUCCCGUUUGCGGUUUUACCACGGACCGGUAAAAAACCCUAUUUUUUAUAUUUUCGUCGUAUUUAUCCCUUUUUCCCCCAAAUUAUUUUUUUUUUUUCGUAAUUCCGUUUUUUUCGUUAAUAUAAUUAUUUUUUUAUUCGCAUUUUCGCCGUAUUUUGUUUUUUUUUCACCAAUUUUUUCGCGUUUUAAUUAUUUUUAUUUUCCCCGUCGUCGUUAUAUUUUCGCCGGUUUUUAAUUUUAAUUCCAAUAAUUUUAUCGAAACGUUUUUUUUUUUCCGUCGUCGUUAAUUCCGGCCAAUUUAAAUAUUCCGUCCAACGCAAUAUUAUUAUUAUUUCCGUUAAUAAUUCCAAAAUUCCUAUAAUAAAUCGGUAUAUUACCAUUUCGGAUGCGUUUUUUUUAUUAAUUGCGGUCGCAAAAUAUUUGUCGCGCCGUUGGUUCAAACGUGUUCGAAAAAAAUUCCGACGACGAAAAAUACGCCGCGUUUAAAUAACGUAUUCCGGUUUAUUUUUUUUAUAUUAAAUUUUCCAAAAUUAUUAAUAUUUUAAAUUAUCGCCCUUAUUUUA